CUGAACUUUACUUUGGAAUACCAAUAACUCAGUAGCCUGUACGAAAAGGAGAAUGGUUUCAGGAUCUCUCAGUUAGCUGCUACCUUCAGACCUUGAAAGUAUCAGUAGAAUGCUUAGGUUCAGCCUCAGCUAUUCCCCAGAUCCUUGUGUUUCUGUAGGACUUUCCUACCUGGGGCCUUGAUGUCUCUUUGGGUCCCUUGCGAGCCACUCACUGUCUUCAGUUGUUUCGCUGAAAACUCCAGGGAAGAAGAACCAACACAAGGAUUAAGUAUUAUGUCUCAGAGGAUAUUUCUAGAUUUGAAUUCAAGACAUGCAGAAGAAGGCUUGAAGUCUACUGACAGCAGGAGGGUUCAUAACAACUGACUGCACGCUGACACCUGCUGCCUCAGAUCCGCUGAUGCUCCAUUUUCUUUGGGAUCCAUCACCACAUAAAAUUUCAGACCUGUGAAUUAUGUCUUUGCUUUGAAACUGUUUCCUGGUUAUCUAAUGCUUCACACUACAUGGCAGCACUGCAGUGACAGGCACUUUAUCCCGAAUGAAAAAUAGAUGAAAGGUAGCUGGAAAUGCAAUACCUCUGUGGUGGUUGGUUGUUUUUUCUUUGUUUGUUUGUUUGUCUGUUAGUUUUUUGCUGAACCAGCAAUAUUUUGUUGCUAUUCAUAACCUAUCUUGUUCAACUGAUCUUUACAGAAAGCAGAUAGAGCAUUUCAUAGUGCCUUCAGCCACAUCAUGCAUCACUUUUUACAUAAUUGCAGUUGCAAACUACGAUAGGGAAAACAGCUUCCAAGCAAGGCUGACAAGUGUACAAACUUUUCCCAAUGACCACCAGACUUGGUUAGACUUUCAGUAUUUUUCUUUUCAUGCUGAAUGUCAGCGAACUAUGACUCACACCAAAUUCACAUAGCCCCCAAGAGGCUGUAUUAACUCUGGCUACAGCCAAAUAUCUGUCUAAGUUUCUGUGUGUGAACAGGAAACAGAUUCAGCACAAAUCUUCAUUUAUAACUGAGAUUAAUGGCAAAGGGGCUAUGGCUGGCAAAGGAAUGAGCUGUUUAACUGGAUACACCCAAGCGUUUUCGAGAACUUAAGAAAUGUCUUUCAAAGAUCACGGGUUGUCGGUAAGUGAACGGCAAAACUCCUGAUGGCUUCGCUGCCUCUGACUGAUGGGAUCUUUCCAGAUAUGUAACUGCAGGCUUGCCUAGAUUUCGUUCUGGUGAGUCAGCCUGCAGGCACUAGUCCUAAAUAAAAAAGGAAAAAAGAAUUUAAAAUAGCUGUGU
This 1271-nucleotide long non-coding RNA is filed under the name Anser brachyrhynchus (Pink-footed goose). RNAcentral's name for it is "lncRNA (ENSABRG00000018895.1)". Lineage: Eukaryota; Metazoa; Chordata; Aves; Anseriformes; Anatidae. The record is from RNAcentral.